Molecule: long non-coding RNA, 2943 nt
Filed under: Olea europaea (common olive)
Lineage: Eukaryota; Viridiplantae; Streptophyta; Magnoliopsida; Lamiales; Oleaceae
Description: long non-coding RNA (OEUR_LNC007230)
Source: RNAcentral
UUAUUCUUAAAACAUUAAUCACUAAUAAUUAACUUUAGAAAAUGUCCAUUUAAACAAAUUCACCAAUUUCCCUCAUUUUGUGGAUUUCCCUCGUUGUGUUGGUUUACAUGGAAUUCAGAGGAUAGAACUGGAGUUGGUGAAACAGAAUUUGGAAUCUAAUCUUUUCCCAUUUCCAAUUUUAAGCUCUAAAUUCCGAUAAUCAAAAGUUCGAAUAUUUGACCGUUUACGAAAAUCACUUGGAGAAAUCUUGGUUAGGGCGUUGGAAAUGGUAUGAUUUUCUCCAGAAUCUGCAAAUGAUUAAUAUGAGGUAUGGGCCUUAAAUUUCUUUUCCUCCUUUCACGUGAACGGGGAAUGGUUUUAAUAAGCUACUAAUUUUUCGUUUGUUAUCGUUCAUGUUCGUCUAUAAUUUUAUAUUGAUGAUAUGAAUUAUAUUGCUUUAAUUUUGCCUGCAUCAUACGUAUUUUGUUUGUGCAGCGUAUAAUUUGUAAAAUAGCAUCUAUGUUGGAAUUGAAUUCAGGAAUCUUAUUGUAAUGUCGAUAGAAUCAUAAUCACUAAUGACCUCAGUUAAAAUAUUAGCUUUCUGGAGGCUAGGUAAAGUGACAACUUAUAAUUCCCCACAAAGAUAACUUUUUUGGAUAUAAUUUAACAAAAUUCAAGAAAUAAUUACAUUUCAUCUAUGUAGGUCUCAAAACUUAGGAAUACACACACAUUCACCCUAUCAGGGAAGUGUGAACUUAUAACUUUGGGGAUGGAGAAGGAAGCAUACUCUAUUCUAUGAUUUUAACUUAAUAUAGGCUUCUACAAACAUUUUCUUAUUCUACCUGGAGAUGCUUGAUAAAUUUAUAUACAAUUUGCUUUGAUUACCAAUCGAUCCUACCUCAUUUGGAAGUUCAGUUUCUUGAUGCAAUAGGCAAAUAAGAAUGCGAAGAAGACCGUGAAACCAACCAACACUGCGGCAACUGGUCCUUUAAAGUUGGGAUCAUAACCAAAAUGAUCUUGAAUAUAAUUUUUAAUCAUAGGGGCGGAGGACAUCCCAGGCACUGUAAUGGUUUCCUCCAUGUCUCCAUACUGGCCUAUAAUCAGUCCGUACACUGUCCAUGCCACUGGGCAAAUCCAGUAGUACCAUACCCACCAUUUGGGAAUACUCUGAAAUUUCAAGAGGGGAAAAUUUCAAAAAAUGUGCUCAAUUUGAAGAUCAUCAUUAAACUUUAAUAAUUUUGACUGAAAUAACUUACUGGUCUAGGGAUAAAGAAACCAGAGAAUAGAUUGAAAAGUGCAUAAAAAGCUGCUGCAAAGAUUGCUGCCACUUGGUGGUUUGGCGUGAUGGAGACAGUCAUCAUUCCAUAGUAUGUGAAGUAGAGGAAGGAAAAGAAGUUCACAAAGAAGAACCAAAAGAAUUUAGCAGCUGUCCACUGAAAGCUCACCAUAGCGUACACUAUAAGAGUAUAAUACGUAGUCUGAACAAGGACAUAUGGUAUUUCUACAAUGACCUGCAAGUAAUGUAACCAACAAACUAAUAUUAAAUUGAUUUAGCUUUUUUACUACAUGUAUGUUCGGGCAUUCAUUAACUUCAUUUUGAGAAGUCACAAGUUGAUCUCUCAUGCUAUGAAAAGUAUGUUAAGAUGAAGAUAAUUCGAAUGAGAAAUUAAAUCUUGACCUGUGCGAUGGCAUAUGGCAACGCUGAGUACAUUCCUGCUGCUCUUUCCCUAUAGAAUACAGUUCUUUCGAUGGCUACUAUUGGCUGUACGGUUGAGCAGUUAUUGAUUCCAACAAACAACACAGAAGUAUACAUGGCCCCAAUGAUAGUCAAAAGAUCUGCACUACUUUCCCUGAAGCCACAAAAUAAGAAAGUAGGAAUCAACACCGUGGCAUUCAAGUCUUGUUACUGAUACUUUUGAAAUAAAUUCCUAGAUAACCUAGAUUUAGAGUAUGAACCUUUUUGUGCCAACUCUCCAGAAAAUUGUCCCUACCAUGAGUGCACAAGCCAAAGUGAAGAAGUAUCUCACUAGAUUAUAAUCAGGAGUUCUCCAGUAAGUCCACCAUUGCUUCCAGAGGCAGGACUUGAAUUGACCCCAUGUGGCUUGAGAGUACUGUGUGGGAAAAUAUAGGUCUUUUGCCCCAGGAGGGGGUGUACUCAACUCUUUCACUAGAGCCUUAUUUCGCCUGGGAAUGGACAUCGCUACACCAUGUCAUAAAAGACCAAAUGAAACAAAAGUUGAAGGAAAUGUAUAGAACUUUACCAUUUUGUUCAUCCAUCUUGGAGCAAACAUCUCAUUUACUGCGAUCGCAUUGUAACCAUAGCUCAGGGGUGAAACCCAGUAACCCCACCUCCACCAGACUGGAAUUUUUUCUGCAUGAAAGAAAAAUUUCCUAGUGAGUUGGAUGUUUCAUGUAUCUUGUUAAAUAUAUAUACCGUCAAUCAAAAUCCCUUUUUUUACUCUUUUGUUGUUUUGUUACACUCCCUUUGUCCUUGUCUAUAGACGAGAGAUUGGUUAUCCACUUAGAAUACUUUUUUUCAGCUUUUACUUUGAAAACUUUGUGGUUUCAAGUUUUAAAAAUAUUAAAGAAUAAAAAUUACUGAUUUCUUUGAAGAGAAACAAAAAACAAAGAAAUAAAGAUAUCAUCUGAUACAUAAUACAUUCCUGCUGUUGAUACAGAAGCAAUUGUAGGAGUGCUAAAAUAAUCGAGUUCGAAGGUUCAUUUUCAAGUCAUUUAGGAAUAGGCACGCAUUAUACAAUUUACUUUCUUAUUGCGCUCUUUCUGUCAUUAGCAUUACAUACUGUGCAAAAUUAUAAUGUGUUUUGCAAUUCAUAGUUGGGUUUUUGUGCUUGAACUAACCUCUAGGAAGGAUGAAACCACCCAAAAGGAACACAAGCAGAAGGGUAAGAGCACCACCAGUGUUUGAGAUAAUCAUGGUCCUGCAUAUUGCUGCAGUGAACCUGA